Molecule: non-coding RNA, 101 nt
Organism: Saccoglossus kowalevskii
Lineage: Eukaryota; Metazoa; Hemichordata; Enteropneusta; Harrimaniidae
Source: RefSeq, marked provisional
GACUUACUAUAUGCCACAGUGUGGCAGUGUGGUUAGCUGGUUGUUAAUUAUAAUUUCAACCAUCUGAUCAUCUGCCUAUACAGUGACAUAACCAAUCAUCC